Molecule: non-coding RNA, 7356 nt
Organism: Phalacrocorax carbo (great cormorant)
Lineage: Eukaryota; Metazoa; Chordata; Aves; Suliformes; Phalacrocoracidae
Source: RefSeq, a predicted model, not a curated record
GCCGUCUGGAGCAGUGGGCGGGUGCCUCCUGGCGCGUGGCGUCACGUAACGCGACGGGAGUCGCCGGAAGAGCGCGCGCGGGUCUCCUGUAGGGGGAAGGGGGCGGCGGGGGCGCAGCCGCCGGGUGCCGCCGGGUGCCGCCGCGCGCCCACCCUGCCUCGUGGGUCCCCCGCCUCGCGGGGCCGCGCGCGUCGCGCUGGUGCCCCCGGGGCGGCCGCGGAGUCGGCUUCGGCUCGGGCGGGGGCGUCGUGCAGGGGCGGCGGCCAUCACAGAACCCGCACCGACGGGGACCUGGGUGCCAUAAAGGUAGUCGCGGAGCAGAAUUACCUGAAAGAUAGUCACAGAAUCCCAGACUGGCGGGGGCUGGAAGGACCCUCUGGAGAUCGGCCCGUCCCACCCCUGCGUGAGCAGGCACCCCCAGAGCAGGGGCACAGGGCCGCGUCCAGGCGGGGGGUGAAUGUCUCCAGGGAAGGGACCCCACAGCCUCUCUGGGCAGCCUGUGCCCCUGCUCUGGCACCCGCACAGGGAAGGGGUUUGUCCUCAUGUUCAGGGGGAGCUUCCCGUGUCCCAGCUUGUGCCCGUGGCCCCUUGGCCUGGCGUUGGGCACCACGGAAAAGAGUACGGCCCCGUCCUCCUGACACCCGGUCAAACCGGGUGUCCUCCUGACAAACCCAGGUCUCUCAGCCUUUCCUCCCAAGGGAGAUGCUCCAGCCCCUGAUCACCUGCGUAGCUCUCCGCUGGAUUCUCUCCAGCAGUUCCCGGUCUUUCUUGAACUGGGAGGCCCAGAACUGGACGCAGCACCCCAGAUGUGGCCUCACUGGGGCAGAGCAGAGGGGGAGGAGAACCUCCCUCGCCCUGCUGCCCACACUCCUUUCCCUGCCCCCCAGGGCACCGCUGGCCCCCUUGGCCCCAAGGGCCCGGUGCUGGCUCAGGGUCACCUCGCUGCCCCCCAGCACCCCCAGGGCCUCUCAGCAGAGCCGCUCUCCAGCAGGUCCCCCCCAGCCUGUGCUGGUGCGGGGGGUUGUUCCUCCCCAGGGGCAGGACCCUGCACUGGCUCCUGUUGAAUUCCCUGAGGUUCCCCUGGGCCCAGCUCUCCAGCCUGCCCAGCUCUUGCUGGAUGCCAGCACAGCCCUCUGGCGUAAUCAGCCACUCAUGCCGGAAUAGUCUUCUUGUUAACUUAGACUAUGUUUAUUUUAAUGUCUUGUUUAAAAGCACAUUGUUGAAAGCAGAAUAUUUGUGAAUUGAGGGAAGCCCUGGUUGACAAGUUGACCCACCAGGGUAAAAAACCAGGAAAGCAAGCCCAGCAGUAGAGGUUGUGAAACCUCUCAGGAAGCCAUCAGUGCCAGUAAGGCUUGUUUUUACCACAUCUAACUGCAAAGAGGAUCCCUGAAGUCCACCCUGAUUUAGAGGUUGAAAUGGAACACAGUUGCCUGGAGCUCCCAGGCCAGAAAUCCGCUUACAGUCACUGCAAGGUAAAUGAGACACGGAGAGGAGUGGAGAAGUCAGGAAGACCUGGGAUGAACUGACAUGGAACCAUUUGGGAAGCUUUCACUAGUUGCAAGUAAGUUGUAUGAUUUCAGGUCGUAGCUUUGUGGUACAAAGGAAGUGAAGUGCUUAACAUUUGGAGAGGUAGGUGAAAACUAAGAGAUGUGUUAGGAGUGACAAAACUACCCUCCUGCAGAUUUAAAGCCAAAGGGGGCCUUAAUAGGUGUCCUGGGAAGAAGAGAUGUAAAACAAGCCUGGAGCUCCCAGGCCGCAGAUCCGCUCAGGGCUUUUGCAAGUCCUACUUUUCUCCUACAAGUUAAAUAGUUCUGUACUUUUCCUGUUUGGAGAGGGUGUCUGCUAGAUACCAGUCUGGAUUGCAUGGUAGGGUGAACAACAGUCUUUAAGUAUGAGAAAUCUACUGCUGGCAGUGUGUGUGUGUGUAGUGUGCUAUUGUUCCCCCUUCAGAAUGGACCCUUCCCCCUUUCCAAAAUCUGGGAAAGUCCCCUCCUUGCACAAGACAUUAUAUGGGGUCGUGGAUCUAAGGGAAAACUUUAACUGUGAGGACAGCCAAGCAGUUGAGUAAGGUGCCAAAAAAGCUUGUGCAGUCUCUGCUCUGAGCGGUGUCCAAGACUGGGUAAAGCUCUGAGCAACCUCACCUGACCUCAUAGCUGAUCCUGGUUUGAGCAGGAAGUUGGACUAGAAACCUUCUGGAGUCCCUUCCAACUGGAAAGUAUUCUGUCAUUCUACUGAUAUUUUUUUACUAUGGCACAGAGUCCUGAGCUGGGAGCACAAGAAGGUGAGUGCAUGGCCAGAGAAGUUGUCCUCCUUCACUCUGAGCUUGCUGUGUCCUGCUGCCCUUCCUCUCAGCUGGAAGGGGCAAGAGGCAUCUACCAGGUCAGCGCUGUCAAUGCCAACACCUCUUUUGACAGUGGGGGGGAGGCCAGAACAGACUCUUCCUGGCAGAUCCACGACGUCAACAAACAGCAACCAGAUCAGUUGGUAGAGCUGGCUGGCUUGUGACAGCCCCUAAGGUCCCUGCGGAAUGUUAGUCCUUGGUUUCUCUCUCACACCAUGCUCAGGAGAGAACCACAGCAGCCUUCCAGGCACACUUGACCUGGUACAUCUGACUCUGUUAACUGUAGGCCACCAUAGCCUGCUACCAAGCUCUCCGUGUGCCGCCAGCUCGCCUGCCCAUCACCCCCGGACGCUGCAGGUGAGUGGCCAACUGUGUGAUGCUGCAGGACAUCCGUUACGUGGAGUGGCUCCAGUAAAGAGGCAACCUGAGAGCCAGUACAUAUGACUUUGAGCCUUACCUGUCUCCCAGCCAUUAUUAGGAAAGGAGGGAGGAGGACAGAUCUUUGUAGAAAGGCCUCUUUUCCAUCCCUCCUCUCUGCUGUUUUUAACCUUCUCCCCCUCCCUGGUUCUUGAUUCUGCUCUCCUGUUGAAGUGAGGCUGGGGCAGCAGGAGGCCUCUGCAUUUCAUCCUCCAGCAGCAGGACAGAACGCUGGACACGCAGAAGGAAAAAGUGGGGAUCUGAGUACACCUGGAGGCGAAUAGCAGACAUUGCAGGGAGGGCAGUGGAGGAUGACAGUGGAGUGUUUAUAUCCGUAUAUAUAACAGAGAUAAAUGCAUUUUAUGUGUUUCUACACCUUCAUACGUGUAUGUUAGUUAUACAUGUUUAAAUGCAUACAUAUAUAUGGAUAGAUAAAACAUAUGUUUAUACUUACAUAUGUGUAAGAGAGCCAUUUAAGUAGUUGGAAGAUAAACCUUUCCCUUUACCCUGGAGAAACAUUAAAGGCCAUAAGGGGCAGGACAUUGUCCUUAGCCCAUGUUCCAUCCCACAGUGGGUACCUGGGAUUUAACAACUCCUUGUGAGUCAUUGCCAACUGAAGUCCAACCUCCUUGUUUAUAAGCACUUCUAAUAAUACAGCUACAUAUAUAUACACAUAAAAAGGUAUAAAAAGUUUCAUUGGCAGUUGUGUUUUUAAUGAAAGGUAAUGGAAUUAACUGUAAAUUUUAAACAUUCACUGGAAGAAAAUUAUAUAAAAUGUUGCUUCAUUGGCCACCUUUUCCACAAGUCUGCCACAGAAGCUUUAACAGGUCUGGGGGGAGUGUGCAUUGAAGGGGGAGCGGGGCAAAGGGUGAAUACUGUCAGUCAAAUCAAGAGACACCACUCAACCCUUGCUCAUCCAAAGGAGACAGUCAUCUAUGAGUUUAACCAAGAGGCCCAACCAACCUCCCUCCCUGCUCCUGCUCUGCUAAAAGCAGUCUAAUCAUAUGUGUUUUACUGGCACAAGGUCGUGGCAAGAAAACCCUGUAUGAAUUUAUAGACUUUUUAGAAUUACGCUUACUUUAACUUCAGGCUGUUAUGCCACAACUAGAAUUUCAGUUCUCUGCUUCUGUCAUCAGUUUUGGAUAUUUAGCGUCAAAAAGAUUUUAGAGAAGUCGUCUGUGGUCAAGUGGGGAGAAAACAUAUGCGCGCACUCACUUACGCACAGAGUACCACAUCUAUGAAGGAAGUCUGUCAAAAUCAGGAGUGUGCAUUGCCAGAGGAGUACAGCUGAAGAGCUGAAGAGUCAGGAAUCUAUGCAGUGCAGGGAGCUACUGUCAGGGUUGGACAUUCCUGUAGGUAUCUAGUAACACCAAUGGCCUGCUGCUGGAAAGUCGCCUAAAUCAUCUCUCCCAGGCAGGAAAAGCCAAAGGAUAAAAUACCAUUUGUUUGAGUGAUGUUUCCAUUUUAGAUUGCUUUCUGCCUUUUUUACCAUUUCUUUCUUUCAUCUGUUCCUUUCUUCUGUAUCUGCAGGCACAAAAGCUCAGAAGUUUCUUUGCUGCUCCUGCCAACAAUGGUGGCAUGUUCCCUGGAGAGCCACAGAAAUACAACAGCAUGCAGUAUGAGUCUCAGAUUUUUAUUUUCUUUUUCCCCUGAGGUGUGACUAGUUCUCAUUCUCGCUUUGAUCUUCUCUUUGAGUCUUUCUGUCAGGAGUGUUUUGCCCUCAAGGCACAACUGAAAGGCCCUUCUACUUUGACCAGUGUGCUCAACGAUCAGUAGUCUAAAAAGAAAUUGCACUUUUUCUAUCCCAUAAAAGCCUGCAGGUAAUAUUUGUAGUAUAAACAAUGCCCAAAGAAAGCAGUCUAAUGUGUUUCAUGAGACCAUGGGCGUGAAAUUCUUGGUACUCGUGUCCCUCCCCUGUACCCACUCUAACAGGUCCAUGUCUGUCUUAUACUGGGGACCCAAGAACUGGACACAGUGCUUCAGCUGGGAUCUCACCAGAGCAGAGCAGAGGGGGAGAAUCACCUCCUUCUACCUGCUGGCCACACUUCUUUUGACGCAGCACAGGAUAAUGUUGGCUUUCUGGGCUGCAAGUGCAUAUUGCCAGCUCAUAUCCAGUUUUUCAUCACUCAGUACCCCCAAGUCCUCUGCAGGUCAUCCCCCAGCCUGUACUCAUACUGGGGAUUGCCCUGACCGAGGUGCAACCUUGCACUUGGCCUUGUUGAGCGUCACGAGGUUUGCGUGGGCCCACUCCCCAAGCCUGCUAAGGUUGCCCUGGACGGCAUCCCUUCUCCCUUGUGUAUCAACUGCACCACUGAGCUUGGUGCCAUCUGCAAACUUGCUGAGGGUGCACUCAGUCCCACUAGCUAUGUCACUGAUGAGGUAUUAAAUAAUAUUGGUACCAGUACAGAGCAUUGAGGGACAUCACUCAUCACUAUUUGGAUGUUGAGCCAUUGACUAACUGUUUGGACACAGCCAUUUGGCCAGUUCCUUAUCUACCUAACAGUUAAUCCAUCAAACCUGUCUCUCUCCAAUUUCGUGGCAAGAAUGUUAUGUGGGACCAUACCAAAGGCCUUACAGAAGUGUAGGUAGAUGACGUCCAUAGCUCUUCACUUGUCCAUUGAUGCAGUCACUGUCAUAGAAGGCCACCAGAUUAGCCAGGUAUGAUUUGCCCUUGGUAAUGUCAUGUUAACUGUCUCCAGUCCCCUCCCUGUCUUCCGUAUGUUUCAACACAUCUUCCAGGAGGAUCUGUUCCAUCAUCUUAGCAGAUGUGGAGGUGAGGCUGCCUGGUUGAUAGUUCCCAGUUCAUUUCUACUGAUUUUGAAAAUGGGAGCGAUUUUUUUUUUCCCAGUCACUGGGGACUUCACCUCGCUGCCACAGAUUUUCACAUACAAUGGAGUGUAGCCUGGCAACUACCCCAGCUAAUUCCCUCAGGGCUCUAGGAUGCAUCUCAUCAGGUCCCAUGGAUUUGUCUUUGUUCACAUUCCUCAGGUGGUCUCAAACCUGAUCUUCACUUACAAUGCUUUUCCCCCAGUCCCUGACUUGGGGUUCAGGGGCUUGAGAGAUGUGGGAAGAGAAAUUACUGUUGAAAACUGAGGCGAAAACAUUGUUGAGUACCUCAGCCUUCUCCGUGUCACUUAUCGCUAGUUCUCCUGUCUUAUUUACUGGCGGGGGGAGGUGUUAAAUUUUUUUUAAUCUUCCUUUUCUGACCAAUGUACCUGUGGAAACCCUUCUUAUUGGGUCUGCGUGGCAAGGUUUUGGUAGUGGGGAGCUACAGGGCUGGCUUCUGUGAGAAGCUGCUAGAAGCUUCCCCCAGGUCCAAUGGAGCCAAUGCCAGCCAGCUCCAAGACAGACCCACCGCUGGCCAAGCCCAAGCCCAUCAGCAGCGGUGGUAGUGCCGCUGGGGUAACAUAGUUAAGAAGGGGGAAAAAAACCACAACCCUCUGCAGCAGCAGCCGGAGAGAGGAGUGAGACUGGAGAGAAAGAGCCCUGCAGACAGCAAGGUCAGUGAAAGAGAAGGAGGAUGUGCUCAAGGCGCUGGAGCAGAGAUUCCCCUGCAGCCUGUGCUGAAGACCGUGGUGAGGCAGGCUGUGCCCCUGCAGCCCGUGGAGGUUAGCGGUGGAGCGGGUAUCCCCCUGCAGCCCGUGGAGGUUAGCAGUGGAGCAGCUAUCCCCCUGCAGCCCCUGGAGGUUAGCAGUGGGGCAGGUAUCCCCCUGCAGCCCGUGGAGGUUAGCAGUGGGGCAGGUAUCCCCCUGCAGCCCGUGGAGGUUAGCGGUGGAGCAGCUAUCCCCCUGCAGCCCCUGGAGGUUAGCAGUGGGGCAGGUAUCCCCCUGCAGCCCGUGGAGGUUAGCAGUGGAGCAGGUAUCCCCCUGCAGCCCCUGGAGGUUAUGGUGGAGCAGGUAUCCCCCUGCAGCCCCUGGAGGUUAGCAGUGGAGCAGCUAUCCCCCUGCAGCCCCUGGAGGUUAUGGUGGAGCAGCUAUCCCCCUGCAGCCCCUGGAGGUUAUGGUGGAGCAGCUAUCCCCCUGCAGCCCCUGGAGGUUAGCGGUGGAGCAGCUAUCCCCCUGCAGCCCCUGGAGGUUAUGGUGGAGCAGGUAUCCCCCUGCAGCCCCUGGAGGUUAGCAGUGGAGCAGCUAUCCCCCUGCAGCCCCUGGAGACCCCACGCUGGAGCAGGUGGAUGUGCCCAAAGGAGGCUGUGACCCUGUGGGCAGCCCGUGCUGGAGCAGGCUCCUGGCAGGAGUUGUGGCCCUGUGCAGAGAGGAGCCUGUGCUGGAGCAGGUUUGCUGGCAGGAGCUGUGACCCUGCGGGGACCUGCGCUGGAGCAGUUUGUGAAGAACUGCAGCCCGUGGGAAGGAAUCAUGUUGGAGAAGUUCGUGGAGGGCUGUGUCCUGUGGGAGGGAGCCCACACUGGAGCAGGGGAGGAGUGUGAGGCGUCUGUCCCCUGCAGAGGAAGGAGCAGCAGAAACUACCCCCAUGCAGGGGGAGGAGGUAGAGAAAAACAGGAGUGGAUUUAAACCCAGGAGGAAAGGAGGGGUCGGGGGAAGGUGUUUUGGUUUUAUUUCUUAUUAUCCUAUUCUGAUUUGAUUGGUAAUAAAUUAAACUAA